AGUAAUGUCUGGGAAACUGCCUGAUGGAGGGGGAUAACUGCUGGAAACGGUAGCUAAUACCGCAUAACGUCGCAAGACCAAAGAGGGGGACCUUCGGGCCUCUCGCCAUCGGAUGUGCCCAGAUGGGAUUAGCUAGUAGGUGGGGUAAUGGCUCACCUAGGCGACGAUCCCUAGCUGGUCUGAGAGGAUGACCAGCCACACUGGAACUGAGACACGGUCCAG
This 222-nucleotide ribosomal RNA is filed under the name uncultured bacterium. RNAcentral's name for it is "partial 16S ribosomal RNA". It matches the Rfam family "Bacterial small subunit ribosomal RNA", at positions 109 to 334 of the family's 1533-position model. The record is from RNAcentral.